GUAGCGAAAUUCCUUGUCGGGUAAGUUCCGACCUGCACGAAUGGCGUAACGACUUGGGCGCUGUCUCAACCAUGGACCCGGUGAAAUUGUAUUAUUCGUGAAGAUGCGAAUUACCUGCGGAAGGACGGAAAGACCCCGUGAACCUUUACUGCAGCUUGGCAUUGGCUGUUGGUGCGGUGCGUAGAGGAUAGGCAGGAGCCUGCGAACCGGGAACGCCAGUUCCCGGGGAGGCGCCCUUGGAAUACUGCCCUCACCGCAUCGGCAGCCUAACGCGCCGCCCUCAUCGGGGGCGCGGACCGUGCCAGGUGGGUAGUUUGACUGGGGCGGUCGCCUCCUAAACUGUAACGGAGGCGUGCGAAGGUUCGCUCAGGGCGGUUGGCAAUCGCCCGCAGAGCACAAGAGUACAAGCGAGCCUGACUGCGAGACCAACAAGUCGAGCAGAGACGAAAGUCGGUUCUAGUGAUCCGGCGGCCCAGCGUGGAAUGGCCGUCGCUCAACGGAUAAAAGGUACUCCGGGGAUAACAGGCUGAUCUUGCCCAAGAGUCCACAUCGACGGCAAGGUUUGGCACCUCGAUGUCGGCUCAUCGCAUCCUGGGGCUGUAGCAGGUCCCAAGGGUACGGCUGUUCGCCGUUUAAAGCGGUACGCGAGCUGGGUUCAGAACGUCGUGAGACAGUUCGGUCCCUAUCCUCCGUGGGCGCAAGAGAAUUGAGAGGAUCUGUCCCUAGUACGAGAGGACCGGGAUGGACGCACCUCUGGUGCCGCAGUUGUCGACCAACGGCACAGCUGCCUAGCUACGUGCGGAACGGAUAACCGCUGAAAGCAUCUAAGCGGGAAGCCGGCCUCGAGAUGAGUUCUCUCUUCGGUAAGGCCACUUGUAGACCACAAGUUCGAUAGGCCGCAGCUGCAAGCCCCGCGAGGGGCUCAGGCGAGCGGUACUAAUCGGCCGAGCUCUUCAUCUC
RNAcentral lists this ribosomal RNA (960 nucleotides) under human gut metagenome. RNAcentral describes it as "bacterial LSU rRNA". It matches the Rfam family "Bacterial large subunit ribosomal RNA", at positions 1956 to 2925 of the family's 2925-position model. The record is from RNAcentral.